This is a long non-coding RNA of Pygocentrus nattereri (red-bellied piranha), 1049 nucleotides long. The record is from Ensembl. Lineage: Eukaryota; Metazoa; Chordata; Actinopteri; Characiformes; Serrasalmidae.
CUGCGUUCUCUGCAGUGAUGGCACUCCAUCCAAUAUCUUUGGAAUGAGAUAACGUGUCAAACCAAUCAUCCAGCAUCGAUAUCUGACCUCACUAAUACUCUUGAGGCGCAGUACAAUUAGAGCCACAAAGCACUGUUCCAACACCUGGCGUAGAUAAGCAGAGCCCAGAUUAUUGGCUCCAACCUAACUUAGGCAUAGAGCAGAAGUGUGGACCGUCUAGGGCUGCUUACUGACGUGUUUGAGAACUACAGCUGCUGGUGACGGAGAUUCUUACCUUACAGGUGGAGUCCAGUCGUUGUAGGCGGGGCUUACGCACCUGCGUCAGCAGAAAAGGUAUUCUGAGCUUCAUCCAUGUAGUGACUUCAUUUGGCAAAGAAGAGCUCAGCCAAUCAGCUACUCAGUGUAAUAGAUUCUCAAAUGAGUGUAUUAGCCGAUUUAAAACAACUGAAACCAACAACCAUAAUCGACUACAACAGAAACAGCUGGACAUGCCAGGAGCGAGCAUCAUCAGGAACCUGCAGUCUCCUAGUGCAGCGAGCUCAGCUGCUAAGCGAGGGAAGCCCCUCCAGACUCCGCCAGGUUAUCAGGACAUUCAACCAGUGGCUUCGAGGCAUGUUUCACUGCGGGAUAUGGCGCUAACUCCUGCCCGUGUGCCUCCGUUCACCAUCCCACCGCUGUGUGCGACGAGGCGGCCUGGGGGCUCCUCUGCCGGGGGCGGCCUUAGACGCAACACGCUGCCGGCCUCCGCUCACUCUCAGCGGACUACCAGAGCGCUCAGCCGCCGCUGCUGCCCUUUCUCAGCGCUCGGCCUCGCGGAUAUGGAGCCUCACACCUGUGCUUCUUCAGACCCGGCGACAAGAGCGGCGAUGUCUCUGCUCCACCUGGCCAAAAUAACCACGCCGUACGGCUUCAUCACUCUGGGGGAAAGUCCCUGUGUCCGCCGCAGGGAGUCGCUGUUCUUCCAGGAACACCAACCACAGCCAAGUCCCAGCGAAGAGGAGCAGCAGUGUAUGAAAUCAAGGAGUCUUCCUUGCGGUCCCCUGAUGUAG